UACACUCCUGCGGGAGGCAGCAGUGGGGAAUAUUGGACAAUGGGCGCAAGCCUGAUCCAGCCAUGCCGCGUGAGUGAUGAAGGCCCUAGGGUUGUAAAGCUCUUUCACCGGUGAAGAUAAUGACGGUAACCGGAGAAGAAGCCCCGGCUAACUUCGUGCCAGCAGCCGCGGUAAUACGAAGGGGGCUAGCGUUGUUCGGAUUUACUGGGCGUAAAGCGCACGUAGGCGGACUAUUAAGUCAGGGGUGAAAUCCCGGGGCUCAACCCCGGAACUGCCUUUGAUACUGGUAGUCUUGAGUUCGAGAGAGGUGAGUGGAAUUCCGAGUGUAGAGGUGAAAUUCGUAGAUAUUCGGAGGAACACCAGUGGCGAAGGCGGCUCACUGGCUCGAUACUGACGCUGAGGUGCGAAAGCGUGGGGAGCAAACAGGAUUAGAUACCCGUGUAGUCCC
Molecule: ribosomal RNA, 448 nt
Filed under: uncultured organism
Description: partial 16S ribosomal RNA
Rfam family: Bacterial small subunit ribosomal RNA
Source: RNAcentral